This 1173-nucleotide long non-coding RNA is filed under the name Aquila chrysaetos chrysaetos. Its description in RNAcentral is "lncRNA (ENSACCG00020016961.1)". Lineage: Eukaryota; Metazoa; Chordata; Aves; Accipitriformes; Accipitridae. The record is from RNAcentral.
AUGCGGGCAGGGAGCGGCUCCCCAAAACCACCAACUCCUGCCUGCGGUCCCCCCAGGUACAAGCACUUCAAGUCCUUGCCAGAGUCGCUGAGCCUGGAGCAGCUGAGUCUGGCAGAGACUGGGUCCCAAGAGGAGGCGGAUAGACCUGCAGCAGGGGACGGUGGCCCCAGCAAGGUCGCCUGCAGGACACGGUCACUAGAGGAGGGGGUCGACCUCGAGACCUCCCCUUUGCACCCCGCGGAGAGGAGAGCUGCGCCGCUGCCCCCCAGGGAGCCUCCAUGGCCAGGGAGGACACGGGGCCACCUGUCCCCUGCCACCGCUGAGGAGCCACCGGCCACAGCCAAGCCCCCCCUGGGGCUCCCCGAGCCACCGCGGGUGCUCCUGUCCCGCCGCAGCAGCAGGGCGGGCAGCGCUGUCGCCCAGCACCAGCCCCGCAAGGAGCAUCGCAUUGUGUCACCGGAGACGGACAGCGGCUUUGUGGGCUCGGAGGCCAGCAGGGUGUCACCCCCCGUGCACACCCCUGAGCACCAGCCUCCCGGCACCGGGACCCCUGGCUUGCUGGGACCCUCCAUCCCCAUCCCUGCAACCCUCUGUCCUCCACGGAAGAGAGAGGCGAUCCCGCUUCCCUCCGAGACGGCGCUGAUGGACAUCUACCCCGUGGGCGAGCAGGGUGGCACCGGGGGGCCCCGCCUGCCCCCCAGCACCCCCUCGCAGGGCAGGUCCCCCCCGCGCUGGGCCGAGAGCGCGGGCAGCGAGGCAGGACCCGACGGUGACGGCACUCACACGGACUCGGAGGCAGAAGGCAGGAGUUGCGCCAGCGCCGGCGGCCACCCCUCCAGCGUGGCCAGGGGCCCGGCCAGCCCCCCGCCAUCCCCCGAAACACCGUCCCCCACCCCGCUGUCCCCUGACCUGCCAUCCCUCGACCCGGCUCGCUGCGACCUGCUGGGCUCCCGUCUGGAGCCCAGGCCAUCCGGGCGCUGCGGGACGAGGUGUGGCGGCUGCAGCGGAGGCUGGAGGAGAGCCUGCGCCGCUCCCGCAGGUAUCCCGAGGGAAAAGCCGCCCCGGCCAGGAGGCAGCUGGUGGCCAGCGGACCAUCGUCCCCCAAGGACGCAGCACCCUCGGGGGAGCCAAGCCCCCCGGUGCGGGGCAGGGUGGCCCCUGGGGUCGCACUGA